This 351-nucleotide ribosomal RNA is filed under the name uncultured Anoxybacillus sp. RNAcentral describes it as "bacterial SSU rRNA". It matches the Rfam family "Bacterial small subunit ribosomal RNA", at positions 1029 to 1382 of the family's 1533-position model. Lineage: Bacteria; Bacillati; Bacillota; Bacilli; Caryophanales; Anoxybacillaceae. The record is from RNAcentral.
GGGUGACAGGUGGUGCAUGGUUGUCGUCAGCUCGUGUCGUGAGACUUGGGUUAAGUCCCGCAACGAGCGCAACCCUCGACCUUAGUUGCCAGCAUUCAGUUGGGCACUCUAAGGUGACUGCCGGCUAAAAGUCGGAGGAAGGUGGGGAUGACGUCAAAUCAUCAUGCCCCUUAUGACCUGGGCUACACACGUGCUACAAUGGGCGGUACAAAGGGUCGCGAACCCGCGAGGGGGAGCCAAUCCCAAAAAGCCGCUCUCAGUUCGGAUUGCAGGCUGCAACUCGCCUGCAUGAAGCCGGAAUCGCUAGUAAUCGCGGAUCAGCAUGCCGCGGUGAAUACGUUCCCGGGCCUU